ACGUAAUGCGAAUUGCAGGAUUCAGUGAGUCAUCGAAAUUUUGAACGCAUAUUGCACUUCCGGGUUAGUCCUGGGAGUAUGCCUGUAUCAGUGUCCGUA
RNAcentral lists this ribosomal RNA (99 nucleotides) under Phytophthora rosacearum. RNAcentral's name for it is "5.8S ribosomal RNA". It matches the Rfam family "5.8S ribosomal RNA", at positions 60 to 154 of the family's 154-position model. From Rfam's summary of the family: 5.8S ribosomal RNA (5.8S rRNA) is a component of the large subunit of the eukaryotic ribosome. The record is from RNAcentral. Lineage: Eukaryota; Oomycota; Peronosporomycetes; Peronosporales; Peronosporaceae.